CGGGAAGUAGCGCAGAUGGCUAGCGCGUCUGCUUUGGGAGCAGAAGGUCCAGGGUUCAAAUCCCUGCUUCCCGA
This 74-nucleotide transfer RNA is filed under the name Candidatus Omnitrophota bacterium. RNAcentral's name for it is "tRNA-Pro". It matches the Rfam family "tRNA". Rfam says of the family: Transfer RNA (tRNA) molecules are approximately 80 nucleotides in length. The record is from RNAcentral. Lineage: Bacteria; Pseudomonadati; Candidatus Omnitrophota.